GGGAUGAGUCUUUGCACUGGGCACUGACCACUUCAUUGAAGUGGAACAUGAGCGAAUAUGCGUCUAGUAGGCCUAGAAAACCUACGCUACUGAUUUC
RNAcentral lists this small nucleolar RNA (97 nucleotides) under Lipomyces starkeyi NRRL Y-11557. The record is from RNAcentral. Lineage: Eukaryota; Fungi; Ascomycota; Lipomycetes; Lipomycetales; Lipomycetaceae.